CAGAUAUGAAUUACAUUUUUUGAAAAACACUCCAGCUGCUCAAUGGAGAAUGGAUUCUGUGAAGGCUUGAAUAAGAGUGACAGUACUAGAGAUGGGCAUGGAAAGAGGAGGUGGGACUAACAGAGCAGUGAAUCACUCCACACAAAACAGCAAAACAGGAGGGAACUGAGUUAUUUGUUGGCAGCUCAAGAUACUGGAGAAGAUGACGGGCCAGGAAGUUGAAAGAAGGUGAGAGGUUGAGGAGAGAAGAGGGGAGCUGGGGAGAAGCUCUGGCCACGUGAAAACCGGUAGAGCCUCCAGAAGACUGCAGCCAAGGAGGAAUUCCUUGUGGCAAGGAAUGUCUGAUGUUGAAUGUUAGAUGGUUUUCUGCGCUGUGCUGGGAUGAUACAACUUGACUCAACUCUUCAGUUGAUUGUUCCCUACUAACAGCACCCUGG
This 437-nucleotide long non-coding RNA is filed under the name Homo sapiens (human). Its description in RNAcentral is "non-protein coding lnc-PIGM-3:1". Lineage: Eukaryota; Metazoa; Chordata; Mammalia; Primates; Hominidae. The record is from RNAcentral.